This 531-nucleotide ribosomal RNA is filed under the name Arthrobacter echini. Its description in RNAcentral is "bacterial SSU rRNA". It matches the Rfam family "Bacterial small subunit ribosomal RNA", at positions 373 to 903 of the family's 1533-position model. Lineage: Bacteria; Bacillati; Actinomycetota; Actinomycetes; Micrococcales; Micrococcaceae. The record is from RNAcentral.
GGGCGCAAGCCUGAUGCAGCGACGCCGCGUGAGGGAUGAAGGCCUUCGGGUUGUAAACCUCUUUCAGUAGGGAAGAAGCCGGCCCUUUGGGUUGGUGACGGUACUUGCAGAAGAAGCGCCGGCUAACUACGUGCCAGCAGCCGCGGUAAUACGUAGGGCGCAAGCGUUAUCCGGAAUUAUUGGGCGUAAAGAGCUCGUAGGCGGUUUGUCGCGUCUGUCGUGAAAGUCCGGGGCUUAACCCCGGAUCUGCGGUGGGUACGGGCAGACUAGAGUGCAGUAGGGGAGACUGGAAUUCCUGGUGUAGCGGUGAAAUGCGCAGAUAUCAGGAGGAACACCGAUGGCGAAGGCAGGUCUCUGGGCUGUAACUGACGCUGAGGAGCGAAAGCAUGGGGAGCGAACAGGAUUAGAUACCCUGGUAGUCCAUGCCGUAAACGUUGGGCACUAGGUGUGGGGGACAUUCCACGUUUUCCGCGCCGUAGCUAACGCAUUAAGUGCCCCGCCUGGGGAGUACGGCCGCAAGGCUAAAACUCA